GCUGGAUGUGGUGGCACACACCUGUAAUCCCAGCGGCUUGGGAGGAUGAGGCAGGAGGAUCACAAGUUCAAAGCCAGCUUCCCCAACUCAGCAAAGCCCUAAGAAACUUGAUGAGAUCCUGUCUCUA
Molecule: small RNA, 127 nt
Filed under: Marmota monax (woodchuck)
Lineage: Eukaryota; Metazoa; Chordata; Mammalia; Rodentia; Sciuridae
Source: RNAcentral